RNAcentral lists this ribosomal RNA (254 nucleotides) under uncultured bacterium. RNAcentral's name for it is "partial 16S ribosomal RNA". It matches the Rfam family "Bacterial small subunit ribosomal RNA", at positions 524 to 776 of the family's 1533-position model. The record is from RNAcentral.
UACGGUAGGGGGCAAGCGUUGUCCGGAAUCAUUGGGCGUAAAGAGCUCGUAGGCGGCUCGGUAAGUCAGGUGUCAAAUCCUCAGGCUCAACCUGGGGCUCCACCUGAUACUGCUGUGGCUAGAGUCCGGUAGGGGAGCGUGGAAUUCCUGGUGUAGCGGUGAAAUGCGCAGAUAUCAGGAGGAACACCAGCGGCGAAGGCGGCGCUCUGGGCCGGAACUGACGCUGAGGAGCGAAAGCGUGGGUAGCAAACAGG